AGCCCCGGAGCCCCCUUAGGGCUCGUCUUCAAACUUGCAUUUUGACGUGGGUCACCUCAGGGCU
RNAcentral lists this transfer RNA (64 nucleotides) under Anolis gemmosus. Its description in RNAcentral is "tRNA-Cys". Lineage: Eukaryota; Metazoa; Chordata; Lepidosauria; Squamata; Anolidae. The record is from RNAcentral.